GCCCUCGUCGUUUAACGGAUAGGACGGUAGAUUGCGGAUCUGCUAAUUGAGGUUCGAUUCCUCACGAGGGCACCA
RNAcentral lists this transfer RNA (75 nucleotides) under Candidatus Harrisonbacteria bacterium CG10_big_fil_rev_8_21_14_0_10_45_28. Its description in RNAcentral is "tRNA-Arg". It matches the Rfam family "tRNA". From Rfam's summary of the family: Transfer RNA (tRNA) molecules are approximately 80 nucleotides in length. Their secondary structure includes four short double-helical elements and three loops (D, anti-codon, and T loops). Further hydrogen bonds mediate the characteristic L-shaped molecular structure. tRNAs have two regions of fundamental functional importance: the anti-codon, which is responsible for specific mRNA codon recognition, and the 3' end, to which the tRNAs corresponding amino acid is attached (by aminoacyl-tRNA synthetases). tRNAs cope with the degeneracy of the genetic code in two manners: having more than one tRNA (with a specific anti-codon) for a particular amino acid; and 'wobble' base-pairing, i.e. permitting non-standard base-pairing at the 3rd anti-codon position. Lineage: Bacteria; Candidatus Harrisoniibacteriota. The record is from RNAcentral.